This 397-nucleotide ribosomal RNA is filed under the name uncultured bacterium. RNAcentral describes it as "bacterial SSU rRNA". It matches the Rfam family "Bacterial small subunit ribosomal RNA", at positions 521 to 916 of the family's 1533-position model. The record is from RNAcentral.
UAAUACGUAGGGUCCGAGCGUUGUCCGGAAUUAUUGGGCGUAAAGGGCUCGUAGGCGGUUUGUCACGUCGGAAGUGAAAACUCAGGGCUCAACCCUGAGCGUGCUUACGAUACGGGCAAACUAGAGGUAUGCAGGGGAGAACGGAAUUCCUGGUGUAGCGGUGGAAUGCGCAGAUAUCAGGAGGAACACCGGUGGCGAAGGCGGUUCUCUGGGCAUUACCUGACGCUGAGGAGCGAAAGCAUGGGGAGCGAACAGGAUUAGAUACCCUGGUAGUCCAUGCCGUAAACGUUGGGCGCUAGGUGUGGGGACCUUCCACGGUCUCCGUGCCGCAGCUAACGCAUUAAGCGCCCCGCCUGGGGAGUACGGCCGCAAGGCUAAAACUUAAAGGAAUUGACGG